Long non-coding RNA from Gossypium arboreum, 292 nucleotides. RefSeq lists it as uncharacterized. NCBI's taxonomy places the organism in Eukaryota, Viridiplantae, Streptophyta, Magnoliopsida, Malvales, Malvaceae. The transcript has 3 exons. The record is from RefSeq and is a predicted model, not a curated record.
UCUGUCCCUUCUUUCAUAUUCUUGGUCAUCGAAUCUUUUCUUCCUGUUGGAGCCGACGGUGUUACUUUCUGGGACUAUUCGAAGGGUGGAAGAUCUUUAACUGGUGUUAGGGUAGAUGAAACUUCCCUCUCUACUUGAUCGAAGGUAAUCUCCAAACAUAGGUGGAUCGGUGCAGCGAGGGACUCAAAGGUGGCCACACAACCGCAUAUAUUUUCAUAUUUGAUUAUGAUUAUAAGUAUUAUUAUUUGGGGUAUUUUUACUAUAAUAAGGCCUUUAUGGAUUUUUACUUUAA